This 311-nucleotide ribosomal RNA is filed under the name uncultured bacterium. Its description in RNAcentral is "bacterial SSU rRNA". It matches the Rfam family "Bacterial small subunit ribosomal RNA", at positions 28 to 334 of the family's 1533-position model. The record is from RNAcentral.
GACGAACGCUGGCGGCGCGCCUAACACAUGCAAGUCGAACGAGCGAGAGAGAGCUUGCUUUCUUGAGCGAGUGGCGAACGGGUGAGUAACGCGUGAGGAACCUGCCUCAAAGAGGGGGACAACAGUUGGAAACGACUGCUAAUACCGCAUAAGCCCACGACCCGGCAUCGGGUUGAGGGAAAAGGAGCAAUCCGCUUUGAGAUGGCCUCGCGUCCGAUUAGCUAGUUGGCAGGGUGAUAGCCUACCAAGGCGACGAUCGGUAGCCGACCUGAGAGGGUGAUCGGCCACAUUGGAACUGAGAUACGGUCCAA